This 72-nucleotide transfer RNA is filed under the name Dipodomys ordii (Ord's kangaroo rat). It matches the Rfam family "tRNA". Rfam says of the family: Transfer RNA (tRNA) molecules are approximately 80 nucleotides in length. Their secondary structure includes four short double-helical elements and three loops (D, anti-codon, and T loops). Further hydrogen bonds mediate the characteristic L-shaped molecular structure. tRNAs have two regions of fundamental functional importance: the anti-codon, which is responsible for specific mRNA codon recognition, and the 3' end, to which the tRNAs corresponding amino acid is attached (by aminoacyl-tRNA synthetases). tRNAs cope with the degeneracy of the genetic code in two manners: having more than one tRNA (with a specific anti-codon) for a particular amino acid; and 'wobble' base-pairing, i.e. permitting non-standard base-pairing at the 3rd anti-codon position. Lineage: Eukaryota; Metazoa; Chordata; Mammalia; Rodentia; Heteromyidae. The record is from Rfam by way of RNAcentral.
GGGGCUAUAGCUCUGUGGUAGAGCACUUGUCUAGCGUUCACGAAGCCCAGGGUUUGAUCCCCAGCAACCCCU